RNAcentral lists this ribosomal RNA (420 nucleotides) under uncultured bacterium. Its description in RNAcentral is "bacterial SSU rRNA". It matches the Rfam family "Bacterial small subunit ribosomal RNA", at positions 356 to 773 of the family's 1533-position model. The record is from RNAcentral.
GAGGAAUAUUGGUCAAUGGGCGGAAGCCUGAACCAGCCAUCCCGCGUGAAGGAAGACUGCCCUAUGGGUUGUAAACUUCUUUUCUGUACCAAGAACGACCUUUACGUGUAGAGGAGUGACGGUAGUACAGGAAUAAGCAUCGGCUAACUCCGUGCCAGCAGCCGCGGUAAUACGGAGGAUGCGAGCGUUAUCCGGAUUCAUUGGGUUUAAAGGGUGCGUAGGCGGCAUAAUAAGUCAGUGGUGAAAUCCUGCGGCUCAACCGUAGAACUGCCAUUGAUACUGUUAAGCUUGAAUACAUUUGAGGUAGGCGGAAUGAGUAGUGUAGCGGUGAAAUGCUUAGAUAUUACUCAGAACACCGAUUGCGAAGGCAGCUUACCAAACUGAUAUUGACGCUGAGGCACGAAAGCGUGGGGAUCGAAC